RNAcentral lists this unclassified non-coding RNA (325 nucleotides) under uncultured Paraglomerales. RNAcentral describes it as "sequence contains ITS2". The record is from RNAcentral. Lineage: Eukaryota; Fungi; Glomeromycota; Glomeromycetes; Paraglomerales.
AACGCAAAUUGCGCCUUCUUUCGGAAGGCAUGUCUGUUUGAGGGCACCAUUUAACAAAUAAUGUGCGCGUCGUUUUUACGAGCGACGUGCGCACGUUGAUGAGCUUUUCCGAAAAAACCAGGUUUUUUUGGUGGCGCAUAAUGAACAGCGUGGGCUUUUUCUUCGAUUCUCGUGUAGUAAAUGUUCAACGCUUGGGUUGAGAAAAAGUGCGUGCCGCGCAAUGGGUGUGGCGAAUUUUACCCCUGCCCCAAUGCCACUCUUUCCCUGCGAAAGAACAAUUUUUAUUCAGGGCCUCAAAUCAGACAAGAGUACCCGCUGAACUUAA